AGAAAGCUUAUGAGCAAAGUAGGGUUCGGCACUUUUGGUUGUUGAUUAAGAUCAAGAUAAACAAAUACCGGAACUUGAUCGGGGGAAACAAAAGUUAGACGGGUAGACGAAAGUAUUCGAGCAAAUACGAGGUAAGUUCGUGUAGCUAGAAUUGAAUUAUUAAAUAUUUGUAAUUGUCAAAAAAAAUGUAUGUAAGUUGAAUGAAUGAUCCACUUGAAUUUUAAAUUACCGAUAUGCUAUUAUAUUACUGUUUACAUGAAUGCAAAUGAAAUGUUACAAAUACUAUAUACAUUAUAUAGAUUUGGUAUAAUAAUAGGCAUUGAAUAUUAAAUUUUGAGUAUUUAAAUGUAUGUUUUUAAUUAUAUUAAAUAUAUAAAUACUCAUAUGAAUUGAGGAAUUGAGCUAUUGAUUUUUCAUUUCUUAAUUGAUGAAAUUGGAUAAUACUGAGCCCGUUUGAACUUUAGAAAAUCGUCGGAUAUGAGUGGCUUGUCACUAGGGUUACCGUUUGGUCGAGCUCCUGCAUUUGUUGCGGACUCACCACAGCUUGUAUGAGCUUACCGUUUCAGCUCUACAGAGCUUACUGUUUCAGCUCGAUAGAGCUUACCGUUUAUCAACUCGGAAUGAGCUUACCGAUCAUGGCUCGAAAGAGCGAAAAUGACAAUGAAUUGACGAAUUUCUGAUAAAUACACUUAUAGUGUAUCACCCGUGUAUCCCUCGAUGUUCUAAUAGGUUCAACGGGCAUAAUUACUGUUACUGAUCAUAUGAAAAAGUUAUAUAAUUAUUUGGAUGAAUUACAGGUUACACGAUUAGGAUGGAAUUGAUAUAAAUGCUAUAUGAUUUACAUGAAUUAUUUGUUUUAUGAAUAUAUGAAUUAUAUGGACGACAUGAUAUAUUUAGCUAUAUGACUAACUCGUGGAUGGUGAUGUUAAUAGACUAUGUGGACAAAUGAGUUGAAUUUAAUUGUUUAAAAUGCUUAAAUGUUAAAUUGGCAAGUUUAAUACUAUAUUAUGUGGCUUACUAAGCUUAAUGCUUACUUCAUUUAUUUUCUUAUGUUUUAUAGACUUCGGAAGCUAGCUCGAUGUUGGACUAGGUUGGAGAUUUGCUAUCACACUAUCCAAGAAAUUUUCGGUACUUUUGGACCUUUUGUAAUUAAUGUAAAUAUGGC
This 1165-nucleotide long non-coding RNA is filed under the name Gossypium barbadense (sea-island cotton). RNAcentral describes it as "long non-coding RNA (GBAR_LNC021459)". Lineage: Eukaryota; Viridiplantae; Streptophyta; Magnoliopsida; Malvales; Malvaceae. The record is from RNAcentral.